UAGAACUAGAUAUACAGCAAAGUUUUCAAUUGGUAUAAUUCCAUGCAAUUUCUAAAUAUUAUCAAGAAAACAGAAGUUGAUAAAAAAAACUCCAUAUAUCCCAGAAAAAAAUGCACUGUGAAGUCCUGCUGACGUAAAUAAUGAAAGGUAGCAGUCAGUUAAAAGAGGUGAACUGCACUGUAAUCCUAUUGUCUCCUCCUUAAGCAAUUUGUCACAUCUAGGCAACUGACAGUGUGCACUCCACACACGUGAUGAUGACAAAUUAACAAGGAACUGUCAAUAUGUGCAGGAGACCACGUUUUUCUCAAGAGAUGUUGAACUCAUUGAUUUUUCUCCUCUCUCCCGCCACACAUUCAAUAACAAGAGCUAAAACUCAAGCUCACUAAAUGAGAAAAGACCAGUUUCUGUUCACAAUCAAGCCUGAUUCCCCAUCCAAAUGUCUUGAGGGAAUGAAGGCAUGAUUUGAUCUUCCUGCUGUUGCUGCCUCAGUGCCUGCUUGUUGCCUGCAGUAAACACAACCCGUCCAAUCAAUCCCCAGGUAGAAGGCAGCUCCCUACCACUCUGAUCUCUCUCUACCAGAAUACCUGGCUCUUAUGCUUGAUUGCAACACAGGCAGGGCUGUCCUAUACUAGCUGUCUAUCCCCUCACCUGGCCUUGCUGAUCAGACCGAAUUAGAAAACUAGCCACUCAAGUCUCAUGUGGUGUGUGUAGUGAAGUAAUGGGGAAAUCAUCCCCUUGUCAAACAUUCCAUCUUUUUGGAUAAAGCAUACUGCCCAUCUGGCCUCAGCAGCUAUGCAUGAUACAUGCAGCAGGAGGGCUGCCAAACAGCUCAAGGUAGUUGUUUGUUACAGUGGUUUUUAAAAAUAUAUGUUUAUCAUACGAGGCCAGGUCAGUUAUUGUAAACCCGAGUUGUGUUCUUCCUCUCUACGCAGCAAUACUUUACAUCAAGUACUUUUUAUUUUCCCUCCUCCUCUUUUAUUACUGUUGGACAUGGUAGUAUUCCCUGGAACACCUCCAGGUCUGCACUCUCCACAGCUUCCUUCUACCAGGGCAUACCUCCACUACUUGUACACAGGACAAGAUACCUGUGCUUCGCACUACCAAGAAUGACCUUUUUCUGAUUAUGGAUUCUCUGAAUGCCUCCACGAGCCACUUUCCUUUGCAAAUGACACUCAAAUAAUCUGAGGAAUCUAGAUUCGGUUUUUCCCCUGGAAAUUUAUGAUAUACAUGAUACUUAUGAAGAAUCUGGAAGGCUAGCAAUUGCUCUAUGAACACCAUACACUCUUCUGCUUUUCUCAAAAUGAUGUAAGAAACGUCAUUCAGCCUGUUUUUUAUAGUUUAUUUUUAAAUCUUAAUGAUAUUCACUUCAAUUUUUCUUCUCAAACCUGAUGACUCAGUCUUGAUGAAAAGACACCAGCUGCACAAGGUUUGCAAGGGACUUCCUUCCCCUGUUGUUGCAUUCAGGACUUACACAAAAGACCAAUACCGCAAACAGUUCUCUCUUUCUCUCUACUCCACUGCCUUUUUAACAGCACUAGGGCUGUCACAGCACACUCUCAGCCAUAAAAUAUAUAAACCCCAACUCUUCAGUCUGAUCAACUUUGAUAAAGACCAAAGCAAGUAAAUCAGUAAUCAAAAGUUGAUGAAUAGCUUAAGCAUUUGGCGAGCAAACUGCAAUAAAUGUAUUUUUGGUUGUGUAAGCUUGAUAAAUGUCUCUGUGAGGUCCUGGUGCAUAAAUAAUUCAUCAGGGGAUGCCAAAUUGGCCUGUGGUUGUGUGAAUCACACUUUUUAUACCCCCUGUUAAUCAAGUAAAUGAAGCAAAACAAGAACACAAUAUUAGUCAGGACUUGGUAACAUUUUUUUCCCUCAGAACAAAAUUAAAUGUCUCUGGAGCAGGUGCUUUGUACUAGGUCAAGAUUGUUUUGUUUCAAAUGAACAAAAUGGAAUCAUCCCCUACUUGGUCUUCAUUGAAAAAAAAUUAUUUCCGCUGGUCAAGUUACCUCUAGGCUGGUUCCAAUAUUGGAAUUAUUUGCACUGAAAGUGAGAGUUCAAUACAGUUGUUUUUGGCUCUUGGACUCGUCUUUCUCUCAGCACAAUCAAACUAGUAUUUUCACUGGUGUUAAAUUGUCCAUUCAAGAAGUUUACGCACAGACACAACUCUUUGUGCAUGCAGUAUUUUUUUUUUCAAUUUAUCGCUUGUUUGAAGCUGAGAAGUGACAAUGAAAAUAACACCUAGAGGUUAACUUCCAACUGCCUUCUGUUUCCUUUGUCCCACUUCAACUUCUAAAUGUGAACAUCUCCUUCAUUUGUAAAGAAACAUUUGAUUUUUUUAAAGUAAACGGCAAAAUCAAGAACUAAACAUUUUUCUUCAAAUCCAGGCAAGUGCCCUCUCCAGGUAUUCUCAUGAAAUCAAGACUGUAGCAUUUAGAUUUCUCAAUGGUCCUGUCUACUUACACAAUCAAUUUGAAACAACAUAACUUGUGCAACCUGAGGUAAUUACACCAUCUUCCAGCUACCUUAGCUACAGAAUUCCCAACUUCCCUUCUUAUCGUGGAGAUACAGCAACUCGAUAUAUAAAUAUUGACACAAAAGCUUCAACAGUGUCUGACUGCUGCCUGUGUAUAUAUACAGUGCUAUGGCUGUCAAUUUUACCAGGUGAGAAUUUUAGCACAUGGGAGUUACAUUUUUGUUCGUCAUAAAAGAAGAACAGUGCCAAUAACAAUGACCUGUUAAAAGCCCAGUCAAGAACUACACUAUAGAUUUUCCAGAACCAAAUGAAAAGGAUCCAUACAACUAUGUGGGCAUCAUAGGUUGAGGCUGUAAUUCCACACAGCACUGUUGUCAUGGGGUUAAAGAAAGAUGAGGCAUGACAAAGGACUCAGCACGAGCUCCAUUAUUGUAGCCUACUUGGUGCAAACCCAUUAGUUUCACUUCAGAUUUUUUGUUCACCACACCAACCUGGACCAGUCGGACUUCACAACAAAAUCAUCUAAAACUAGAGAUGUAGUUAAAAGCAUAUUCCUGUUGUGUCACUGAAAGAGGUGAUUUAUUUUGUAGAAAUUGUUUUCUUUCAACCAACUGUAAGAAUAUUAAUUAUUCUGACCUUAAUUGGCUAAAAACUAAGAAGGAAAUUUACCACUCAAGUAAAAAGUCUGUCAUAUUAACUAGGUGCACAAAAUUCUAUUUAGACUCAAAUGGAUUUGACAAUAAAAUAUAUGUGUAAAAAAGAAAAA
This 3233-nucleotide long non-coding RNA is filed under the name Lingula anatina. Its description in RNAcentral is "uncharacterized LOC106170588". Lineage: Eukaryota; Metazoa; Brachiopoda; Lingulata; Lingulida; Lingulidae. The record is from RNAcentral.